UACGGAGGGUGCAAGCGUUGCUCGGAAUUACUGGGCGUAAAGGGCUCGUAGGUGGCCAACUAAGCCAGACGUGAAAUCCCUCGGCUUAACCGGGGAACUGCAUCUGAUACUGGAUGGCUUGAGUUUGGGAGAGGGAUGCGGAAUUCCAGGUGUAGCGGUGAAAUGCGUAGAUAUCUGGAGGAACACCGGUGGCGAAGGCGGCAUCCUGGACCAACACUGACACUGAUGAGCGAAAGCCAGGGGAGCAAACGGG
RNAcentral lists this ribosomal RNA (253 nucleotides) under uncultured bacterium. Its description in RNAcentral is "partial 16S ribosomal RNA". It matches the Rfam family "Bacterial small subunit ribosomal RNA", at positions 524 to 776 of the family's 1533-position model. The record is from RNAcentral.